CCGCCAGCUACUAAGUGAAAUCAAGGCAAAUAUGGCUACAGAAUUUGACAGGCAUCUCACACCCAUCAGAGAAGGCCUGAUUGACUUAACCCACAGAACUUCCACUAUUGAGGAACAACUGGACCUGACAGUUACACGCACAACAGCAACUGAAAAUGCCAUAACCGCCCUACAAGAACAGCUCCGCCAGCUAGAGGAGGCACAAGAGGACCUGAACAACCGGUCCCGCCG
Pelobates cultripes (western spadefoot toad) is the source of this 231-nucleotide non-coding RNA. The record is from the annotation of a GenBank genome assembly. NCBI's taxonomy places the organism in Eukaryota, Metazoa, Chordata, Amphibia, Anura, Pelobatidae.